RNAcentral lists this ribosomal RNA (497 nucleotides) under uncultured bacterium. RNAcentral's name for it is "partial 16S ribosomal RNA". It matches the Rfam family "Bacterial small subunit ribosomal RNA", at positions 28 to 507 of the family's 1533-position model. The record is from RNAcentral.
GAUGAACGCUGGCGGCGUGCCUAAUACAUGCAAGUCGAGCGAACAGACGAGGAGCUUGCUCCUCUGACGUUAGCGGCGGACGGGUGAGUAACACGUGGAUAACCUACCUAUAAGACUGGGAUAACUUCGGGAAACCGGAGCUAAUACCGGAUAAUAUAUUGAACCGCAUGGUUCAAUAGUGAAAGACGGUUUUGCUGUCACUUAUAGAUGGAUCCGCGCCGCAUUAGCUAGUUGGUAAGGUAACGGCUUACCAAGGCGACGAUGCGUAGCCGACCUGAGAGGGUGAUCGGCCACACUGGAACUGAGACACGGUCCAGACUCCUACGGGAGGCAGCAGUAGGGAAUCUUCCGCAAUGGGCGAAAGCCUGACGGAGCAACGCCGCGUGAGUGAUGAAGGUCUUCGGAUCGUAAAACGCUGUUAUUAGGGAAGAACAAAUGUGUAAGUAACUAGGCACGUCUUGACGGUACCGAAUCAGAAAGCCACGGCUAACUACGUG